UUGUGGAGGAGGACGCCGAAGGUGGGGCUAAUGACUGGGGUGAAGUCGUAACAAGGUAGCCGUACCGGAAGGUGCGGCUGGAUCACCUCCUAACAGGGAGACAACAAAAUGUUUAUUAUUAUUUUGUCACCUUAGGUCGAUCGGUAUCUCACGUUUUUAAUUUAUUAAGAAUUUCAUUUCCUAAGUUUUUCUAGGUCACACCCAUUAUUUUUCCUGGGCCAUUAGCUCAGGUGGUUAGAGCGCACCCCUGAUAAGGGUGAGGUCCCUGGUUCAAGUCCAGGAUGGCCCAUAUCUCUCUAUGUUGGGGGUAUAGCUCAGUUGGUAGAGCGCCUGCUUUGCAAGCAGGAUGUCAGCGGUUCGAGUCCGCUUACCUCCACUGAUUACCACCUCUGCCAUAAUCUGUAGAAAGGAAAAGUUGUGAGUUGUGAUCAAUUCUGAACGAAUCUAGCUUCCUAAUCAAACCAUUAAGAUGCUGGACUCAUUGAAUUAAUUUCAUUGUUUUCAGAGAACCUUGACAACUGCAUAGAUUAUUUUUUAAAGACAAUAAGCAUCUUUAAUGAUGCAGAUUUAUUAUUUGUGCGAAAGCAUUAAUAACAAUUCUAUUAAGCUGAUGCUUCAAUUUUGAAGUUAUUGGUCAAGCUACAA
Molecule: unclassified non-coding RNA, 645 nt
Filed under: uncultured Prochlorococcus sp.
Lineage: Bacteria; Bacillati; Cyanobacteriota; Cyanophyceae; Synechococcales; Prochlorococcaceae
Description: partial 16S-23S ribosomal RNA intergenic spacer; may also contain 16S ribosomal RNA and 23S ribosomal RNA
Rfam family: tRNA (bases 304-376)
Source: RNAcentral